UGAACGCUGGCGGCGUGCCUACUACAUGCAAGUCGCGCGAACAGACGAGGAGCUUGCUCCUCUGACGUUAGCGGCGGACGGGUGAGUAACACGUGGAUAACCUACCUAUAAGACUGGGAUAACUUCGGGAAACCGGAGCUAAUACCGGAUAAUAUAUUGAACCGCAUGGUUCACUAGUGAAAGACGGUUUUGCUGUCACUUAUAGAUGGAUCCGCGCCGCAUUAGCUAGUUGGUAAGGUAACGGCUUACCAAGGCAACGAUGCGUAGCCGACCUGAGAGGGUGAUCGGCCACACUGGAACUGAGACACGGUCCAGACUCCUACAGGAGGCAGCAGUAGGGAAUCUUCCGCAAUGGGCGAAAGCCUGACGGAGCAACGCCGCGUGAGUGAUGAAGGUCUUCGGAUCGUAAAACUCUGUUAUUAGGGAAGAACAAAUGUGUAAGUAACUAUGCACGUCUUGACGGUACCUAAUCAGAAAGCCACGGCUAACUACGUG
This 495-nucleotide ribosomal RNA is filed under the name uncultured bacterium. RNAcentral's name for it is "partial 16S ribosomal RNA". It matches the Rfam family "Bacterial small subunit ribosomal RNA", at positions 30 to 507 of the family's 1533-position model. The record is from RNAcentral.